RNAcentral lists this ribosomal RNA (232 nucleotides) under uncultured bacterium. Its description in RNAcentral is "partial 16S ribosomal RNA". It matches the Rfam family "Bacterial small subunit ribosomal RNA", at positions 100 to 334 of the family's 1533-position model. The record is from RNAcentral.
CGGGACGGGUGAGUAAUGUCUGGGAAACUGCCUGAUGGAGGGGGAUAACUACUGGAAACGGUAGCUAAUACCGCAUAACGUCGCAAGACCAAAGAGGGGGACCUUCGGGCCUCUUGCCAUCGGAUGUGCCCAGAUGGGAUUAGCAGUAGGUGGGGUAACGGCUCACCUAGGCGACGAUCCCUAGCUGGUCUGAGAGGAUGACCAGCCACACUGGAACUGAGACACGGUCCAG